GUGUCCAGCCGGAGCCGCGCGCGAUGAUUCAUUGCCCCAAUUAGGGGCUCUCUGCAGCGCGCCCGGCUCUAGCCGUCUGAAGGGUCUCCUGGGGGACCCGCCGAAACCCAUCAGCGGCUGGAGCUGGUCUUUAAGUAAAGGUCAAUCAGGACGCGGGAGGAGCCAGUUCCCACUCCAGUCCCUGAAUGCCACUUGUGGAUACUCU
RNAcentral lists this long non-coding RNA (205 nucleotides) under Homo sapiens (human). RNAcentral's name for it is "HSALNT0387477". The record is from RNAcentral. Lineage: Eukaryota; Metazoa; Chordata; Mammalia; Primates; Hominidae.